UUUCCGUAGGUGAACCUGCGGAAGGAUCAUUAACGAGUUAGGGUCCCAUGGGCCCGACCUCCCACCCUCUGUUGUCGAACGAAACCGUUGCUUUGGCGCGGCCGCGCUCCCCUCGCGGGGAGCCGCCGCCGGGUCCGCCCGGCGAGUGCCCGCCAAGGGACCAAAACGCAACCCUUGAAGUGAACCUUGCAGUCCGAGCACAAUCGUUAAUAAAAUCAAAACUUUCAACAACGGAUCUCUUGGUUCUGGCAUCGAUGAAGAACGCAGC
Molecule: unclassified non-coding RNA, 268 nt
Filed under: uncultured fungus
Lineage: Eukaryota; Fungi
Description: sequence contains ITS1, 5.8S rRNA gene
Rfam family: 5.8S ribosomal RNA (bases 220-268)
Source: RNAcentral